Amphimedon queenslandica is the source of this 580-nucleotide long non-coding RNA. RefSeq lists it as uncharacterized. The transcript has 3 exons. The record is from RefSeq and is a predicted model, not a curated record. NCBI's taxonomy places the organism in Eukaryota, Metazoa, Porifera, Demospongiae, Haplosclerida, Niphatidae.
UAGUGUGUGGUUGUAGAAUAAAAGUUCAGCUAGUGACUGAGCACUGGUUGAAGUGAUGUCAGGAUUCUUAUGAAGAUAUAAGUCAGUAAUUGUUUUAUUAUUAAUUAAUGAUUGUGUUAGUGCAAUGACUCCAUCAUCAUUGAUGGAAUCAUCACUGAUCCCUAGUCUCUCUAAUGAAGUAUUUUUUGUUAUUUUGUGAGACAGUGAGAGGAUGACAUCUUUUGUUAUUUUAGUGUUAAAUAUACUAAUCCUCUUUAUUGUUCUUAUGUCUAGUACUUGAGACAUCAUCAAGUAUACAAUAUCAGGUGAUGAGUGAUAGAGGUAAAUGCCCUGAUGACUGUCUGUUAAUUGACUGAUCACUUCCUGACAUUGACCUGCUGAUGGUUUAGUGAGGGUUACUCUAUUACCGAUCCACUCCACCUCUCCAGUCUCUUCUCCUAAUAAUAAACACAGUGAUGCUGGUUUUUGUACCAGUAAGUCAUUACAGCUGCUAGGAUGGAAUGGGUGUGGUCUAUCUUUUAUCAUGUGACAGGAAACAAAAAUCAAUUGUGAAGGUCACUGUAGUACUUAUAAACUGAUU